GAUUUUGACUUUUACCGUUCAGGAGUUAUGGUUCUUGAAAGAUCGUAAAAUGGCGUUUCCAUUCAGGUUGUUGCAUUUACUCAUGAACCAUUCAAUCUAAGCUUUUCAAAUUUUAAUAUGUUGAUACUGAUGACAAAAUGGAGGUCAAAUUUGAUAUUGACAAUUUUCACUUUCACCAUUCAUCAGUAAUGGUUCUUAUGAUAUUGCCAGGAC
This 213-nucleotide long non-coding RNA is filed under the name Mytilus galloprovincialis (Mediterranean mussel). Lineage: Eukaryota; Metazoa; Mollusca; Bivalvia; Mytilida; Mytilidae. The record is from RNAcentral.